Molecule: ribosomal RNA, 305 nt
Filed under: uncultured bacterium
Lineage: Bacteria
Description: bacterial SSU rRNA
Rfam family: Bacterial small subunit ribosomal RNA
Source: RNAcentral
UGCCUACGGGAGGCAGCAGUGGGGAAUAUUGGGCAAUGGGCGCAAGCCUGACCCAGCAACGCCGCGUGAAGGAAGAAGGCUUUCGGGUUGUAAACUUCUUUUGACAGGGAAGAGCAGAAGACGGUACCUGUCGAAUAAGCCACGGCUAACUACGUGCCAGCAGCCGCGGUAAUACGUAGGGGGCAAGCGUUAUCCGGAUUUACUGGGUGUAAAGGGAGCGUAGACGGUUGUGCAAGUCUGAAGUGAAAGCCCGCGGCUCAACCCCGGGACUGCAUUGGGAACUGCCCAGCUCGAGUGCCGGAGGG